This is an RNA transcript of Lycium ferocissimum, 1904 nucleotides long. RefSeq lists it as uncharacterized. The transcript has 8 exons. The record is from RefSeq and is a predicted model, not a curated record. Lineage: Eukaryota; Viridiplantae; Streptophyta; Magnoliopsida; Solanales; Solanaceae.
CCAUAAAACGACGGCGCACUACAACCGAAGUCUAUCAAGUAGUAGUAACUUUUUUCGCACCGUUACAAAAAAUUCAAAGGUGAUAAAGACAUUCAAUUCAAAAUCAAAUUCUAGUAAUCUCUUCUCCCGUAAUAAUAAUAAUAGUCGAAAAUUUUCCCCGCCAACACCGCGCAUGGCACUUUCUACCCCACCAGCACCGCCAGAUCCUAACUCCGCUGCCACCACAAGACCAAUUUUCUCCGCUAACCCUAUAUUAAGACCGCCUACCCCUCAACCUUUUUCCCUCCAAUCUUCUCAACGCCUACCACCACCACCACCUAAUCCUAAUUACUCUCAAUUUGUCCCUAAAUCUACUAAUCCCGACCCACAAUCUCAUCAUCUUCACAGUAUUCUCUACCCCCUUGCUUCCGCUGGACGCGGGUUUUUGCCCAACCCGAAUCGGCCCGUUGUUCCUUUUGGGCUGAAUCAUAUGGAUCCGGGUUCGGAUCAGGCUGCGGGUACGGGUGGUAGGCCGACCCAUUUGCAACACGCUCUUCUUGGGUCGUCUUCUCCUGCUACCAGUUCAGCUGUUAAGGGAUUUCCAGUUGUCACUUCUUCGCAUCCAAAGAUUGCUUCUACUCAGCCUUCCAUUUCAGAUUGUAAUGGCUUCAGGGACAGAAGUAAGGAUGACACCUUUGCUAUAAUCAGAGACAGAAAAGUCCGAAUAUCUGAUAAUGCUUCUCUCUACGCCCUUUGUCGAUCAUGGUUGAGGAAUGGGCUUCCUGAUGAAACUCAGUCCCAAUACAUGGAUGUGGUAAGAUCUCUUCCUAGACCCUUGCCGCUAGCUCCUCAAGAUGCCGAGUCUCCUGUGAAAAAGGAUGGAGAUAAAGAAGAAGAGGAAGAGGGUCCUCAUUUGUAGAAGCCCUGAAUCAGCAAGAUGCCAGUAGGAUGCAUUUGGUAUGCCCAACUUCUCUGUAAGACAAAUCGUUCUAGUAAUUCUAAUUUGUAUGUUCCAUUUUCAACUUUUCCAUCUAGUCAUACAUUUUCCGCAUCAAUUCACUCCCAUCCAAUCUUUCUUGAUUUCUGUUACCCUGGUUGCUUUCCUACAAGGGUAUGAAUCUAUUCCAUGGUAAAUCACCCUCCUACAUUUCAAUCAGACUCUAGAAUUGGGAGUACUGACCAUGUUUACUCCUUGCUGAGCAUUUAACCUACCAGGCUGUUAUUGAUGUCUAGUAUAAGAUUAAUGACUUGUACUAUGCGAUCACGUAAUUCUAGGAUUUUGUAUUAUACCAUCCAUUUUAUUUUAGGACUGGAGUUUUUCAUCUAUGCUAACUUAAAAUGGUGAAUUGUUCCAUCCCUAUCAACUUUAAAGUAAAAAAGGUUUUGAACUUUCAUAUUUUGAAAAGCUUUUCAUAAAUGAAAUAAAAUUCAUCAUAUUACAAAGUUUUACAUAAUCAAGUGUCAUAUGCAUGUUGAACAUUUUCUUUUUAUUGUUUCAAGUUGAAUGCAAUACUUUGCUUCUGAGGAGUCUACUAGACUUUUUCCAAGCAAUCUUAUACUCUUCAAUGUUUUGAAUUGCCAAGUAUUGAAAGUAUGGUAUGCUUCAUGUUAUGUUGAAGUCCGUGAGUUCCUUUCUAAAGACAAAUCAAUUGGCUGUUAAACUUUCAUCAAAUGCAUGUCCUCAACGUCAAGAGGAUGACCUACUGGUUAAGGCAUGGGAGCAACAUUCUGGAGAUCCCAGGUUUGAAUUCCAGCAACAAUACGUGGUGCAGACCCAUGCCUGUGCUGUAUAGGCUGCCUGGAUGGCGAGUCUGUUGAGCAUUUAUCUCCGAAAGAACUUUUGCAAAGACAUGUCAAGCGUGCUAAAAGGAUUAGAUCACGAUUAAGGGAGGAAAGACUCAGACGGAUUGCAAGAUACAAAACGA